GCCUGGGUGGCGGAACUGGUAGACGCAAGGGACUUAAAAUCCCUCGAACCUUGCGUUCGUGAGGGUUCGAUUCCCUCCCCAGGCACCA
Molecule: transfer RNA, 88 nt
Filed under: Syntrophus aciditrophicus SB
Lineage: Bacteria; Pseudomonadati; Thermodesulfobacteriota; Syntrophia; Syntrophales; Syntrophaceae
Also listed under: 1 other name
Description: tRNA-Leu (TAA) (tRNA-Leu-TAA-1-1)
Rfam family: tRNA
About the family: Transfer RNA (tRNA) molecules are approximately 80 nucleotides in length. Their secondary structure includes four short double-helical elements and three loops (D, anti-codon, and T loops). Further hydrogen bonds mediate the characteristic L-shaped molecular structure. tRNAs have two regions of fundamental functional importance: the anti-codon, which is responsible for specific mRNA codon recognition, and the 3' end, to which the tRNAs corresponding amino acid is attached (by aminoacyl-tRNA synthetases). tRNAs cope with the degeneracy of the genetic code in two manners: having more than one tRNA (with a specific anti-codon) for a particular amino acid; and 'wobble' base-pairing, i.e. permitting non-standard base-pairing at the 3rd anti-codon position.
Source: RNAcentral